Molecule: long non-coding RNA, 2313 nt
Filed under: Pogona vitticeps (central bearded dragon)
Lineage: Eukaryota; Metazoa; Chordata; Lepidosauria; Squamata; Agamidae
Description: lncRNA (ENSPVIG00000014648.1)
Source: RNAcentral
UUCUUUUUAGAUUGCACAGGAAUAGAAGCCCAUUUUAUUCUUCUAGGGCCCUGCAGAUACGUUAGCCCAAACAGUGUCCUUUUGAAAUUGGAAGAGCCCUCCUUAUCUUCAAAUUCCUGUUUCUUCCUCUUCCUGUUCCAUUCCUACCAAACUGACCAAAAUAUAUCAUACCACAACUGGUGUAUGACUCAUAAUGUUCUCUUUGUGUUUAGAAGGUUUGUUGUUGUUGUUUAGUCAUGUCCGACUCUUUGUGACCCCAUGGACCAGAACACGCCGGGCCCUCCUGUCUUCCACUGCCUCCCGGAGUUGGGUCAAAUUCAUGUUGGUCGCUUCGAUGACACUGUCCAACCAUCUCAUCCUCUGUCGUCCCCUUCUCUUGCCUUCACACUUUCCCAACAUCAGGGUCUUUUCCAGGGAGUCUUCUCCCUUGGUGUUAUUACACAACUUCAUACGAUUUAGAAACCCCUCAUUUGUGUCCCACUCCUCUGGUACCCCUUCAUUAGAUGUGGGAAACAUACUGAUGUUGGAUGUACUGUUUUCCCCCAUAAUGAGACCAACAAUUUGCUAUGUUUAGAUCCAACAUCCACAUCCCUUCCAGCAUCUCUGUUGGGUAAGCUGCCACCUAUUGAUAGAAGGUCAUGCAAAAAGCUGGACUGGACUGGAGGAAUCCCAAGCCGGAAUUAAGAAUGCCGGAAGAAAUAUCAACAGCCUCCGAUAUGCAGAUGAUACCACUCUGAUCGCAGAAAGUGAGGAGGAAUUAAGGAACCUUGUAAAUGAGGGUGGAAGAGGAGAGUGCAAAAAAUGGUCUGAAGCUCAAAACCACGACAGAGGGAGAUAACGUUUCCGGAUGAACCAUUUUCCUGCCUUCCCCUUGCCCAAGAAACAUUUGCCGUUGUCAAAACAAAUGGCAGAGGGAGCUGGGAAGAUGGAGCUUCAUCUACUGAGCAUGCUGAUGCAACUAUUCAUCUUGAGGACCGGGCAAGCUCUCAUGACAAAGAUUGUUUGUGCAUCUGGAGAACAAACCUCACUUCCCUGCGAAGUCUCAAGCUCCCAUACACGUUGGUUCUGGUUCCCCUUGAAUCCCACAUGUGCUAACAUAAGUGGGAAUUGGGUGGAGAUAGCCCAGAAUCAUACCACACAUGAAGUGACUCCUCUUCGGUUCAACCAGCGCCUGACAUUCUACAAUCAAAAAUCAUUGCUUCUCAGGAAUCUGGUCAUGAGCGAUGCUGGUAUCUAUCUGUGCCGCCUCCCCAAUGGCUCAGAAACUCACACUGAACUGCAGGUGGACCCAGGCUGCCACAACAACCUGCUUGUCUCCUAUGAGUGGCUUCAUCCUUCUUUGUUGAAACUCAGUUGCCAUCACUGCAUUUUCCAGAGGAGGACAGACUCUUUCCGCUGGGUGGUGAAUUCAAAGCCACUGGGGAACCGACGCUGGGCUAAGAAGAGCAACCAUGGGUCUACCGUCAUGCUACAUCCCUUCCGGCAAACCGUUUGGGGCCGCUGGGAGUGUCAUUCCCUCGAUUACACUUCCUGGGUCUCUGAAAUUUGUUUGGUUGCGCCCAUCAGAUACAUGGAAGCAGAUUUCGGUUCUGCAGACACAACAUCGUGGGCCUCCUUCCUUUCGUCAAGUUCUCCCCUUGCUAGGACCACAGAUGUUACACCCACUGGGCAUGCUCUGAAGAGGAUAGCUGUCUGGAUUUGGACCUUGCUGUUGGUGGGGCUGGUUUUGCUCCUGGCUGCUCUCGGAAUGGCUGUGUGGUUGAAGAGGAAACACCAAGAAAGAAAGAAAUGGACAGAUCCAACCAGACAGAAGGAAAUAAUGAAAAAGGAGAAUCUGGAUGAGGUAAGUAUCACCUGGGCAUCCCUCAGGUGGGUCGUGUCUGGCAUAACGCUGGGCUUCUUAACUCCCUGUUCAGAUCUUCUCUCCUUGUGGUUCCUCCUUCCAGAGACCUGCUUCCCUUUAUUAUGCUCAACUACAACAUCCCCGAAGGAAAUCCACCAGCAUUCGAACCGCAGACAGCUCCACGGUGUAUGCAGUCAUCGUCUGACACCAUUUCCAUCAUUUUUCACUCAUGCCUUAAGAGGGAGAGGGAGAGAGAGAGAUACACACACUAUUUCAUGACCUACAAACACUGCUCUGUAAAGUACUAGAAGAUUAUAGUAGACUUUCUACAUAUUUCCAUCUCUAAAUGUUUGGCUCAAACGAGAUGUUAGCGGAAUGCUGAUUCUGUUUGAUUACCCCUUUUCCUCUCCCACAAUAGCAUCUCAACACAGACAAUGAGACUUGCAAAAUAAACUUGUUUGUACUUUCCA